Molecule: ribosomal RNA, 433 nt
Filed under: uncultured bacterium
Lineage: Bacteria
Description: partial 16S ribosomal RNA
Rfam family: Bacterial small subunit ribosomal RNA
Source: RNAcentral
AACGAACGCUGGCGGCAUGCCUAACACAUGCAAGUCGAACGAGACCUUCGGGUCUAGUGGCGCACGGGUUCGUAACGCGUUGGAACCUGCCCUUAGGUUCGGAAUAACUCCCCGAAAGGGGUGCUAAUACCGGAUAAUGUCUUCGGACCAAAGAUUUAUCGCCUUUGGAUGGGCCCGCGUUGGAUUAGCUAGUUGGUAGUGUAAAAGCCUACCAAGGCGACGAUCCAUAGCUGGUCUGAGAGGAUGAUCAUCCACACUGGGACUGAGACACGGCCCAGACUCCUACGGGAGGCAGCAGUGGGGAAUAUUGGAAAAUGGGCGAAAGCCUGAUCCAGCAAUGCCGCGUGAGUGAUGAAGGCCUUAGGGUUGUAAAGCUCUUUUACCCGGGAUGAUAAUGACAGUACCGGGAGAAUAAGCUCCGGCUAACUCCGUG